AGCCUCCUUUCCAGCUGUUGCCACAUAGCCUACAGUCUGCCAGCUACUGUGGCCAGGCAGGGGCUUUCGGAGGAGGCAAGAGGCUGUGAUGCAAGUAGGAGGCAUCUGAAAAAACCUUUUGGAUGGUGCUUUGGCCUGGUACCAUCAACUUUCUCUUGUCACUUGGCACAAAAUGUUUCUUUCCUUUCUCACGAGCCUUCUUGCACCUCAUGCGUCAGAGAAAAGAAGGUAAAGGUCACUCUAGGAGCACCUUGUGACAAGAGCUGGUUCUUGAUGAGGUUCUCAUCACCUACUGUGAUACAGUUAGUCCAAUUUGAUUACUGGAUCGUAAUCGUAUGCCAGAGGGUCAUUGAACCUUUUAAGCAAAAUGAGGAGAUGCGUCUUUAUGGGACCUCGUUAGGAGGUGAAAGUUAAUAAAGACAGAAAGGGAAAAAAAGCUACUGGGAAAAGGCAAAUAUCUUCAAAAGCUGUCCAAGGAAGUCAUCCUAUUGGGAUCUCUGUUAGUACUAUUUGGGAUUUUCCAAGAAAUACUGUGUGGAGGUCUCUGUGAGAGUCCCUUGGUGAGAGCUGGAAGUGCCCUAGAGAAGCCAAGAGGCAGAUGUCCCUGUGACGCCUCCUUAGCUGUGGAGACAGGAGGAGCCAGGGGACAGCAAGUAGCUUGACCUGCAGCUUGCAUUGUGUAGAGUAAGCAGAAGCUGGGAAAUCAGUAGAAAUGUGCUUGCUGGGUCCUUCUCUCUCAAUGCUACCUGGGAACCAGAUGACAGAGGAGGGAUGCCUACCCAUUGCCUUGCCUGUGUUGAAGAUCUGGAGCCCAGCAUG
Molecule: long non-coding RNA, 819 nt
Filed under: Struthio camelus australis
Lineage: Eukaryota; Metazoa; Chordata; Aves; Struthioniformes; Struthionidae
Description: lncRNA (ENSSCUG00000001084.1)
Source: RNAcentral